Non-coding RNA from Blastopirellula marina DSM 3645, 73 nucleotides. Lineage: Bacteria; Pseudomonadati; Planctomycetota; Planctomycetia; Pirellulales; Pirellulaceae. The record is from Rfam.
GGUCAGGUAGCUCAGUUGGUAGAGCAUCGGACUGAAAAUCCGAGUGUCGCCGGUUCGAUUCCGGCCCUGACCA